RNAcentral lists this ribosomal RNA (311 nucleotides) under uncultured bacterium. RNAcentral's name for it is "bacterial SSU rRNA". It matches the Rfam family "Bacterial small subunit ribosomal RNA", at positions 1172 to 1482 of the family's 1533-position model. The record is from RNAcentral.
GGUGGGGAUGACGUCAAGUCAGCAUGGCCUUUAUAUCCUGGGCUACACACACGCUACAAUGGCCGGUACAAUGGGUCGCGAAGCCGCGAGGUGGAGCCAAUCCACAAAGCCGGUCUCAGUUCAGAUUGCAGGCUGCAACCCGCCUGCAUGAAGACGGAGUUGCUAGUAACCGCAGGUCAGCUAUACUGCGGUGAAUACGUUCCCGGGCCUUGUACACACCGCCCGUCACGUCAUGGGAGCUGGUAACACCUGAAGCCGGUAUCCUAACCGCAAGGAGGGAGCCGUCGAGGGUGGGGCCGGUGACUGGGACG